RNAcentral lists this long non-coding RNA (715 nucleotides) under Capra hircus (goat). RNAcentral's name for it is "lncRNA (ENSCHIG00000001190.1)". Lineage: Eukaryota; Metazoa; Chordata; Mammalia; Artiodactyla; Bovidae. The record is from RNAcentral.
ACCUUGAUGAAUAGCUGCAUCAUGCCCUAGAAAGUCAGGAUCAAAUUCAGAACUCUCUGACUCCUUGGAGUUCCGCCCUGGAAUGUGGAGUGUGCGGAGGGCUCCAGCCUAAGCCCUGGCUCUUACCACCUGUUCCACAGCACAAUCAGAGGGGCUCACAGGAUGCAGACAGACACCUGGGGCCUGAGGCCCAGCUCCACCACCCUAUGGCCCAAGAACUUCCAGAGGACCAGCCCAUAGAGGCCCCGCACAGGCCCUGGAAUUGGGUUGAGGCCAUUUGUGCAGGGAAUUCUGGGAUCUGGGGGACAGCAUGGACCCUGCAUAGGUUUGACCCGUUGGCCCUGCAGACUCCUUGGCCAGUGAGAGGCGAUGCAGAGCACAGGACACAGUUAAGAAAUUAAAUGCUGGACUUCCCUGGUGGUACGGUGGACAAGAACACCUCCCAAUGCAGGGGCCAUGGGUUCAGUCCCUGGUCCAGGAAGAUCCCACAUACCUCGGAACAACUAAGUCCAUGCCCAACUACUGAGCCCGAGGUCUAGAGUUGUGGGCCACAGCUGCUGAAGCCUGUGUCCCGCAACAAGAGAAGCUUCUUUCCUUCUUUAUGAUGAGUGAUACUUGCUUCUAUAAAGUACUAUGAACUUCCAUUCAAACACAUUUCUCUCUUUUGUCAUUUUUAUUUUUGGCCACACCAGGCCUUAGUUGAGGCACAAAGGAG